GAUGAACGCUGGCGGCGUGCCUAAUACAUGCGAGUCGAGCGAACAGACGAGGAGCUUGCUCCUUCGACGUUAGCGGCGGACGGGUGAGUAACACGUGGGUAACCUACCUAUAAGACUGGGAUAACUUCGGGAAACCGGAGCUAAUACCGGAUAAUAUUUCGAACCGCAUGGUUCGAUAGUGAAAGAUGGCUUUGCUAUCACUUAUAGAUGGACCUGCGCCGUAUUAGCUAGUUGGUAAGGUAACGGCUUACCAAGGCAACGAUACGUAGCCGACCUGAGAGGGUGAUCGGCCACACUGGAACUGAGACACGGUCCAGACUCCUACGGGAGGCAGCAGUAGGGAAUCUUCCGCAGUGGGCGAAAGCCUGACGGAGCAACGCCGCGUGAGUGAUGAAGGUCUUCGGAUCGUAAAACUCUGUUAUUAGGGAAGAACAAACGUGUAAGUAACUGUGCACGUCUUGACGGUACCUAAUCAGAAAGCCACGGCUAACUACGUG
This 497-nucleotide ribosomal RNA is filed under the name uncultured bacterium. RNAcentral's name for it is "partial 16S ribosomal RNA". It matches the Rfam family "Bacterial small subunit ribosomal RNA", at positions 28 to 507 of the family's 1533-position model. The record is from RNAcentral.